Long non-coding RNA from Rhinopithecus roxellana (golden snub-nosed monkey), 640 nucleotides. RefSeq lists it as uncharacterized. The transcript has 4 exons. The record is from RefSeq and is a predicted model, not a curated record. Lineage: Eukaryota; Metazoa; Chordata; Mammalia; Primates; Cercopithecidae.
AGGAGGCCUGCAAGGGGAGGACAUAGGAUAGUGACAUCACAGGAUGCCCCUCCCACCAAGAAAAGCGAGGCUGAGAACUCAGCUGUUCCCCAGGAGGACCAAGCCCUGAGCACAGACACAGUGCUGCCUGCCCCUUUGUGCCACGGGCUCCAAACUGCUCUGUUGGGUGCUGCUUUGUCUCCUGGGAGCAAGCCCAGUAGAGGCUGGAGUCACCCAAACUCCAAGAUCUCUGAUCAAAACAAGAGGACAGCAAGUGACACUGAGCUGCUCCCCUGUCUCUGGGCAUAACAGUGUGUCCUGCUACCAGCGAGCUCCAGAAAAUAUAAAGGAAGGACUUACAGCAACUUGCGUCACUGGUGGCCAGUCCCAGUUGGGGAUAUCAUCAAAGAGCUGCUUGCCUGGCGUGAGAGUCCUGGAGUUGGUUCUGAUGUCUUCCCUAUGGUCUUCUGGCCUGAAUCUGAACUCUUCAGGACACACUCAAGCACCUUCCAGAACACAGAUGAGGUCAUUUUACCCUUGACAGUAAACAGUUCCAUAGAUGCUGAGUGACCCAGACCCUGGUUGUGCUCUUGUGCUGAAAGGAAACAAGCACAUGGGGAGGUGAGCAGAAUAUGAAACAAAAUAAUGUAUUUACAACCAG